Molecule: unclassified non-coding RNA, 27 nt
Filed under: Mus musculus (house mouse)
Lineage: Eukaryota; Metazoa; Chordata; Mammalia; Rodentia; Muridae
Description: oocyte_clustered_small_RNA6309
Source: RNAcentral
UUCACACAUCCGAUCAUCGUUCAUCAU